CGCACGGACCCGCCGAAUCGUGUUCACGAACCGGGGACCCAGGUACGUCGGGGUGAAUCCGCAGGGCCACGGCCCGCGGUAGGGCGCUCUUCCCGCCCGAAUCCGUCAGCUAACCCGGUAGGCGGUCGCGGAAGGAGCU
Molecule: small RNA, 139 nt
Filed under: Micromonospora siamensis
Lineage: Bacteria; Bacillati; Actinomycetota; Actinomycetes; Micromonosporales; Micromonosporaceae
Description: c-di-AMP sequence
Rfam family: c-di-AMP riboswitch aptamer (ydaO/yuaA leader)
About the family: This family represents a conserved RNA structure found upstream of the ydaO and yuaA genes in Bacillus subtilis and related genes in other bacteria. The ydaO/yuaA element is thought to act as a genetic "off" switch for the ydaO and yuaA genes in its native state.
Source: Rfam by way of RNAcentral